CAAUAACGGAUGGCACCCUUCCCCUCAUUGCCAGGUGAGCGGCAGCCAUUUUGAAAAUUCCAAAGUCGAAGAAUGCAUUUACAGAUGUCUAGUAACAUUUUUGCAAAGUUUCAUUAAGUUUGAAGCAUUUUGAAAAUUUUUGAAAUUUUUGAAAUUUUUGCUGUUUCCAUGGUUACGGCGGCCAUUUUGAAAAUUCCAACUUCAAAAUGCAACUCCGCACAUGUCAGUCACUAUUCCUGUAAAGUUUCAUCCAGUUUGCAGCACUUAAUUUUUUUUGGAAAUUUUGAACAUUUGUGCUGCAACCAUGGUUACAGUAGAUAAUUCCAAAAUUCUAAAAGCGUACAUCUCAUUGCCACAUGUCAUGUUAUAUAUCAAUACAGUUUCAUUUACUUUGGUGCAAUACUCUCUGAGAAAAUGCUGAUUUUAUGCAUUUUUCCAUAGGGUCAAUGCAAAACUUGGCCCCAGUUUCCAUGACAACGGCGGCCAUUUUGAACUAUCCAAAUAUUGUCUUGACAUCUUGGCAUACUGGAGAACAUUUUCAUAAAGUUUCAUCCAGUUGGAUCUUAUAACGAAAGAGUUAGAAUUUUUGAUAUUUUAGCUGUUUCCAUGGUAACGGCAGCCAUUUUGAAAAUUCCAAAGUCAAACUGGAAAUCAGCACAUGCCAGUCAACAUUCCUGUGGAGUUUCUUCCAGUUUGGAACACUUUGAUUUUUUUCGCAUUUGUGCUGUUUCCAUGGAAACGGCGGCCAUUUUUUACCAUUCCAUAGCAAGGUGCACAACUUCACAUGGGGGUCCUCAUUAUAGAAGAGUUCCAUCAACAUUGGUCCAUUGGAUUCCAAGAACUCGCGCGGACAAAAUUUGUGCAAGAAAAAUAACUAGAUUUGUAAUUGCUAGCAAUAACGGAUGGCACCCUUCCCCUAUUGCCAGGUGAGCGGCAGCCAGUUUGAAAAUUCCAAAGUCAAAUAGUGCAUCUACAGAUGUCCAGUAACAUUUUUGCAAAGUUUCAUUAAGUUUGAAGCAUUUUGAAAUUUUGGAUAUUUUUGCUGUUUCCAUGGUAACGGCGGCCAUUUUGAAAAUUCCAAACUCAAAAUUCAAGUCUUCAUAAGCUAGGCAACAUUUGUUAUAAGUUUCAUUAAAUUUAAAGCAUUUUGAAGUUUUUCAUAUUUUUGCUGUUCCCAUGGUAACGGCGGCCAUUUUUAAUAUUCCAAAGUCAAACCCCCGCUGCAAUUUUUUCCCUCCAUAAUCAUAUACCAUUUAAUGUCUCUAGAAUAAAUUUAACAUUGAUGUUCUGGAAUGUUCUGUGAAAAUUCAAAGUUUUGACCUGUUUGCAUUGUUUCCAAGGUAACACCAGAUAUUUUGAAAAUUCCAACGCCAAAUUCCACAUCUUCCAAUGUUGCUCAUCGUUACUGUGAAGUUUCAUUAAGUUUUGAGCAUUUUGAUAUUUUUGAAAUUUUUGGUGUAGUUUCCAUGGCAACAUAGUAGUUCCAAUGAGUGUCAAAAUCAUCCAACACCUGUAUAUAGUGGGCACCUACAUUGUAUUAAAAUAUAAUGUUUCUGAGUUAAAGUAUAUCCAAACAGUUCACCAAAAAAAAACAGGAUUUUUUCACAUUUGUUCUGUUUCCAUGGAAACGGUAGCCAUCUUGAACCAUUCCAUGCUUACUGCAACUCUGCACAUGGGGGUCCUUACUAUAGAAGAGUUCCAUCAACAUUGGUCCAUUGGAUUUCGAGAAAUCACCUGGACAAAAUUUGUUGCAAGAAGAAAAUAAAUAAUAAGAAAAAAAAGAAACGUAGAAUAACAAUACGUCACCCCAACUCCGUUGAGGGUGCCAUAAUAAGAAAAAAAAGAAACGUAGAAUAACAGCAUGUCACCCAAACUCCGUUGAGGGUGCCAUAAUAAGAAAAAAAAGAAACGUAGAAUAACAAUACGUCACCCCAACUCCGUUGAGGGUGCCAUAAUUACAAA
Molecule: long non-coding RNA, 1962 nt
Filed under: Mytilus galloprovincialis (Mediterranean mussel)
Lineage: Eukaryota; Metazoa; Mollusca; Bivalvia; Mytilida; Mytilidae
Source: RNAcentral